GAUGAAGAACGUAGCGAAAUGCGAUAAGUAAUGCGAAUUGCAGAAUUCAGUGAGUCAUCGAAUCUUUGAACGCACAUUGCGCCCUGUGGUAUUCCGCAGGGCAUGCCUGUUCGAGCGUCAUUUCAACCCUCAAGCCUCGCUUGGUGUUGGGCCCUGCCCGCCGCGGCCGGCCCUAAAGAUAGUGGCGGCGCCGCCUGGCCCUCAGCGUAGUACAGCUCUCGCUCCAGGGUCCGGCGGCAGCCUGCCAGAACCCCCCAACUCUGUGGUUGACCUCGGAUCAGGUAGGGAUACCCGCUGAACUUAAGCAUAUCAAUAAGCGGGGA
RNAcentral lists this unclassified non-coding RNA (323 nucleotides) under soil metagenome. RNAcentral describes it as "partial contains 5.8S ribosomal RNA, internal transcribed spacer 2, and large subunit ribosomal RNA". The stretch from base 1 to 120 matches the Rfam family "5.8S ribosomal RNA", at positions 35 to 154 of the family's 154-position model. The record is from RNAcentral.